AAUCAUAAGGGGCAAAUCUAUCGAGAGAUUGAGACGCAAAGCCACGGGUCUUAGGAUAGUACAGAAUGUCUAUCAAAGAUAGCCGGGUUGCAGAA
This 95-nucleotide non-coding RNA is filed under the name Desulfosporosinus sp. Its description in RNAcentral is "c-di-GMP sequence". It matches the Rfam family "c-di-GMP-I riboswitch aptamer". Rfam says of the family: GEMM was predicted in a large-scale screen for bacterial structured RNA regulatory elements. Lineage: Bacteria; Bacillati; Bacillota; Clostridia; Eubacteriales; Desulfitobacteriaceae. RNAcentral also lists the same sequence under 1 other name. The record is from RNAcentral.